GCCCGGCUGGCUCAGUCGGUAGCGCAUGAGACUCUUAAUUUCACGUUCGUGGGGUCGAGCCCCACGCUGGGCA
This is a non-coding RNA of Rhincodon typus (whale shark), 73 nucleotides long. NCBI's taxonomy places the organism in Eukaryota, Metazoa, Chordata, Chondrichthyes, Orectolobiformes, Rhincodontidae. The record is from the annotation of a RefSeq genome assembly.